Molecule: ribosomal RNA, 495 nt
Filed under: uncultured Glomus
Lineage: Eukaryota; Fungi; Glomeromycota; Glomeromycetes; Glomerales; Glomeraceae
Description: SSU rRNA
Rfam family: Eukaryotic small subunit ribosomal RNA
Source: RNAcentral
AGCAGCCGCGGUAAUUCCAGCUCCAAUAGCGUAUAUUAAAGUUGUUGCAGUUAAAAAGCUCGUAGUUGAAUUUCGGGGUUAGUAGAUUGGUCAUGCCUCUGGUAUGCACUGGUCUUACUGAUUCCUCUUCCUGAUGAACCGUAAUGCCAUUAAUUUGGUGUUGCGGGGAAACUGGACUGUUACUUUGAAAAAAUUGAGUGUUUAAAGCAGGCUAACGCUUGAAUACAUUAGCAUGGAAUAAUGAAAUAGGACGUUCGAUCUUAUUUUGUGGUUUCUAGGAUUGACGUAAUGAUUAAUAGGGAUAGUUGGGGCAUUAGUAUUCAAUUGUCAGAGGUGAAAUUCUUGGAUUUAUUGAAGACUAACUACUGCGAAAGCAUUUGCCAAGGAUGUUUUCAUUAAUCAAGAACGAAAGUUAGGGAUCGAAGACGAUCAGAUACCGUCGUAGUCUUAACCAUAAACUAGUGCCGAUAGGGAUCGGAUGAUGUUAAUUUUUAA